GAUUGAACGCUGGCGGUAUGCUUAACACAUGCAAGUCGAACGGAAACGAUACUAGCUUGCUAGUAGGCGUCGAGUGGCGGACGGGUGAGUAACGCGUAGGAAUCUGCCUGAUAGUGGGGGAUAGCCCGAAGAAAUUCGGAUUAAUACCGCAUAAUCUAUUCGUAGUAAAGUGGGGGACUUUCGAGCCUCACGCUAUCAGAUGAGCCUGCGUAAGAUUAGCUUGUUGGUAGGGUAAAAGCCUACCAAGGCGACGAUCUUUAGCUGGUCUGAGAGGAUGAUCAGCCACAUCGGGACUGAGACACGGCCCGAACUCCUACGGGAGGCAGCAGUGGGGAAUAUUGGACAAUGGGGGCAACCCUGAUCCAGCAAUACCGCGUGUGUGAAGAAGGCCUGAGGGUUGUAAAGCACUUUCAAUUGUGAAGAAAAGUUAGCGGUUAAUAACCGUUAGCCUUGACGUUAACUUUAGAAGAAGCACCGGCUAACUCCGUGCCAGCAGCCGCGGUAAUACGGAGGGUGCAAGCGUUAAUCGGAAUUACUGGGCGUAAAGCGUGCGUAGGCGGUUUAUUAAGUCAGAUGUGAAAGCCCCGGGCUUAACCUGGGAACUGCAUUUGAAACUGGUCAACUAGAGUAUGGUAGAGGAAAGUGGAAUUUCUGGUGUAGCGGUGAAAUGCGUAGAUAUCAGAAGGAACAUCAAUGGCGAAGGCAGCUUUCUGGACCAAUACUGACGCUGAGGUACGAAAGCGUGGGUAGCAAACAGGAUUAGAUACCCUGGUAGUCCACGCCGUAAACGAUGAUAACUAGCCGUUGGGGGGAUUUACCCUUUAGUGGCGAAGCUAACGCGUUAAGUUAUCCGCCUGGGGAGUACGGCCGCAAGGUUAAAACUCAAAGGAAUUGACGGGGACCCGCACAAGCGGUGGAGCAUGUGGUUUAAUUCGAUGCAACGCGAAGAACCUUACCUGGUCUUGACAUCCUGCGAACUUUCUAGAAAUAGAUUGGUGCCUUCGGGAACGCAGUGACAGGUGCUGCAUGGCUGUCGUCAGCUCGUGUCGUGAGAUGUUGGGUUAAGUCCCGUAACGAGCGCAACCCCUAUCCUUAUUUGCCAGCACAUCAUGGUGGGAACUAUAAGGAGACUGCCGGUGAUAAACCGGAGGAAGGCGGGGACGACGUCAAGUCAUCAUGGCCCUUACGACCAGGGCUACACACGUGCUACAAUGGGAAGGACAAAGAGCCGCGAAGCCGCGAGGUGUAGCUAAUCUCAUAAACCUUUUCGUAGUCCGGAUUGGAGUCUGCAACUCGACUCCAUGAAGUCGGAAUCGCUAGUAAUCGUAGAUCAGAAUGCUACGGUGAAUACGUUCCCGGGUCUUGUACUCACC
RNAcentral lists this ribosomal RNA (1373 nucleotides) under uncultured bacterium. RNAcentral describes it as "bacterial SSU rRNA". It matches the Rfam family "Bacterial small subunit ribosomal RNA", at positions 27 to 1391 of the family's 1533-position model. The record is from RNAcentral.